Molecule: ribosomal RNA, 456 nt
Filed under: uncultured bacterium
Lineage: Bacteria
Description: bacterial SSU rRNA
Rfam family: Bacterial small subunit ribosomal RNA
Source: RNAcentral
UACGGAAGGCAGCAGUGGGGAAUAUUGCACAAUGGGCGAAAGCCUGAUGCAGCUAUGCCGCGUGUAUGAAGAAGGCCUUAGGGUUGUAAAGUACUUUCAUCGGGGAGGAAAAACAAAACUAAUAAUUUUAUUUCUUGACGUUACCCGAAAAAGAAGCACCGGCUAACUCCGUGCCAGCAGCCGCGGUAAUACGGAGGGUGCUAGCGUUAAUCAGAAUUACUGGGCGUAAAGAGCACGUAGGUGGUUUUUUUAAGUCAGAUGUAAAAUCCCUGGGCUUAACCUAGGAACUGCAUUUUGAAACUGAAAUACUAGAGUAUCGUAGAGGGAGGUAGAAUUCUAGGUGUAGCGGUGAAAUGCGUAGAUAUCUGGAGGAAUACCUGUGGCGAAAGCGGCCUCCUAAACGAAUACUGACACUGAGGGUGCGAAAGCGUGGGGAGCAAACAGGGAUUAGAUACC